This 492-nucleotide ribosomal RNA is filed under the name uncultured bacterium. RNAcentral's name for it is "partial 16S ribosomal RNA". It matches the Rfam family "Bacterial small subunit ribosomal RNA", at positions 29 to 507 of the family's 1533-position model. The record is from RNAcentral.
AGUGAACGCUGGCGGUAGGCCUAACUCAUGCAAGUCGAACGGCAGCACAGUAAGAGCUUGCUCUUACGGGUGGCGAGUGGCGGACGGGUGAGGAAUACAUCGGAAUCUACUUUUUCGUGGGGGAUAACGUAGGGAAACUUACGCUAAUACCGCAUACGACCUACGGGUGAAAGCAGGGGAUCUUCGGACCUUGCGCGAUUGAAUGAGCCGAUGUCGGAUUAGCUAGUUGGCGGGGUAAGGGCCCACCAAGGCGACGAUCCGUAGCUGGUCUGAGAGGAUGAUCAGCCACACUGGAACUGAGACACGGUCCAGACUCCUACGGGAGGCAGCAGUGGGGAAUAUUGGACAAUGGGCGCAAGCCUGAUCCAGCCAUACCGCGUGGGUGAAGAAGGCCUUCGGGUUGUAAAGCCCUUUUGUUGGGAAAGAAAAGCAGCAGGUUAAUACCCCGCUGUUCUGACGGUACCCAAAGAAUAAGCACCGGCUAACUUCGUG